RNAcentral lists this ribosomal RNA (253 nucleotides) under uncultured bacterium. RNAcentral describes it as "partial 16S ribosomal RNA". It matches the Rfam family "Bacterial small subunit ribosomal RNA", at positions 524 to 776 of the family's 1533-position model. The record is from RNAcentral.
UACGGAGGUGGCAAGCGUUGCUCGGAAUCACUGGGCGUAAAGGGCGCGUAGGCGGGGAGGUAAGUCGGGUGUGAAAUCCCUCGGCUUAACCGAGGAACUGCCCUCCAAACUGCUUUGCUUGAGGCCGGGAGAGGUGAGUGGAAUUCCCAGUGUAGCGGUGAAAUGCGUAGAUAUCUGGAGGAACACCGGUGGCGAAGGCGGCACUCUGGGCCGAUACUGACGCUGAGGAGCGAAAGCGUGGGGAGCGAACAGG